Molecule: long non-coding RNA, 1517 nt
Organism: Prinia subflava (tawny-flanked prinia)
Lineage: Eukaryota; Metazoa; Chordata; Aves; Passeriformes; Cisticolidae
Exons: 3
Source: RefSeq, a predicted model, not a curated record
AACACAUUUUUAAAAUUCUUUUAAAUUACCAGUAAGUAAAAAGAAAUCUGACUGCAAGAUAAGGAGAUGACAUUUAUCUGCACACCUAUCCUUUGUUCUAUGUUUCUUCUUUAGGGGUUGCAUGGGUUUUAUUUUUUUUUCAGCCCGAAAGCUAGUAGGCAGUAAACUCCAAUUCUUCAUUUUCCUGCCCAGUCACUGAUUCCUUCAGGAGAAGGUCAUCUCCAGAGCCCUCCUGUCCCAGUCUGGAGCAUGACAACUUCCCUGCCCUGUUUUACAGGUGCAGUGUAGCCCAUCAUGUAAAAAACGUGAUAGAGUAGUUUUGAAGGAAAGAACAGUGCACAUCUCCAGGAAGAGAUGUAUAACAGUGCUGCUGGCUCCCAGGAAACUCCAGCCUGUAAAUUCUCACCACCAUGAGUGAUCAGGUACAUCACCAGGUACAAAGCAAAGAAAAAGGAAAUAAGGGGAAGCAGCUUUCUGUAGGACACAGGCUUAGAUAAUUAGUUUUUCUUAUCUCUUUUGGCUCUCAGAAGACAUUCCAUUGAAGUAAAAUUUAUGGAGAAUUUUUAGUUCACUACUGUGGCAGAGGGAGUUGAUUACAGCAAAUAUGCCUAAGGCACCCUCCUGAAAGAGGUUGGGUCCUUUAACUGCUCCAGACAAGUGCAAGUCUUAUUCUUUGGAAUUUUGCACUAUUGCUAACACCAGAUCAUACUUGGGCUGUUUCAAAAGAAGGCACUAGACACCAGUUUAUCAUGAUGUUCCUGAUACAAAAUUUCACUGCCUUGGAUGAAUUGUCAGAGUGCUGUUACAGGACCUACUCUAGACCAAAACCCCAAAAAACCACCAGAAGUUCAUGUAUGUAACCCACAGGAGCCUUGGAUGCAGCAUCUUCCAGCACAGAAAGGACUGAUGAAAAACUGAGCGAGUUGAGCUACAUACCACAAGAAGGACUCUCUCUGAAUUUACCAUCUCUUCAAAACAAGAAGUUCCACUGUUGAAUACUAUUAAUUUUCUCAUGUUUUUCAUUAAUUUUCUCAUACUUUGCUUGUUAAAUAAUCAUUUUUUUCCACUUCUCUUGAAGGAGAUUUUCCUCCUGAACAGUAAGGACAGAGACUAAUUAAAUUUGCUGUCUAGAAAGACCCCUUCAAAAAUUUCCUCACAAAAUUUGCCCCGAACCAAGACAAAUACUAUUUGGUCCCCAGCAUGAGUGUUUUGGUUUGUUUUUUUUUUAAUAUCACUUUCAGCUUCAAGAUCAGACUCUAUUCCAUGUCAGCCCUCUGCAGACUGGAGGUUCAACGUAAAACAUCUGAUGGGUAAAUGUAUUUAUAUAUUUAUGAUACACAGAAUUAUUGUACUGAGUACAAUAGUACUCUUGUACAAGUACAUUUGUAACAAUGUAGUAACAAAUAGGUGUCCCCUGUAUUAGUUCUUUGCUUCUUAGUGAGUGAUGAAAACCUUGGGAAAAGGCUUUUUCUCAUCUCCUCUUCUUUUAUAUUUAAUAAAUUUUUAGAAAGAAACCA